This 166-nucleotide unclassified non-coding RNA is filed under the name fungal sp. Its description in RNAcentral is "partial internal transcribed spacer region". The stretch from base 1 to 46 matches the Rfam family "Eukaryotic small subunit ribosomal RNA", at positions 1786 to 1831 of the family's 1831-position model. The record is from RNAcentral. Lineage: Eukaryota; Fungi.
AAGUCGUAACAAGGUAUCCGUAGGUGAACCUGCGGAUGGAUCAUUUUUGGAUGUGUGUUUUUAUAAGUGAUGGGAAUGGUAUUGGAGGAGUGAUGGUGGUAUGUAUGAUAUUGAUGAUGAUUUAUAAAGGAUGAAACAACUUUUAGCAAUGGAUCUCUUGGCUCUC